AGUUUCCUAAACUUCACUAUGUUGUGAGUGAUGGACUUCUCAACUAUUCGGUACUCUGGGGCAGGGUGUUGAGAAAGGUUGGCUUGGUUUUGUCCUACGGCAGUAGUCAAUUCUUGGAUAGCUCAUAAUAGUUCAAUAAACUCGAGCCUGGUUGGAUGGUCUUAGGUCUUGGAUCUUUUGGUACGUUCUACAAAAGGUCUCCCUUACGUCA
Molecule: long non-coding RNA, 211 nt
Filed under: Carica papaya (papaya)
Lineage: Eukaryota; Viridiplantae; Streptophyta; Magnoliopsida; Brassicales; Caricaceae
Description: long non-coding RNA (CPAP_LNC010273)
Source: RNAcentral